This is a long non-coding RNA of Cydia fagiglandana, 1125 nucleotides long. RefSeq lists it as uncharacterized. The record is from RefSeq and is a predicted model, not a curated record. The transcript has 2 exons. NCBI's taxonomy places the organism in Eukaryota, Metazoa, Arthropoda, Insecta, Lepidoptera, Tortricidae.
AAACUAGUCUUUGGUUUAUUUGAAAUAUUGUUUGUGUAAUAUUAAAAUGCUUUGAUUUGAUGUAGAACGUGAAUAAGAACUGAUUGGGUUAGUUUCUCAUCAUCUAAUUAAUGCUACAGUAAACUAGAGACAUUUUAGUAAAGCGAAUGUGGAAUGAAUGUCCAACCAAGUAAAUGCAAAAAAGUCAAAAUAUGACCGGAAUUAUAUUGCAACUGUACCACCCAUCAAAUUGUCAGAAGCCAAACGGCUGAAAUUGCACAGUGAAAGCUGGGGAUUGUUGACGGACUUCUACUUGGAAUCUGUUAAAAUAAACCGAUACAGGGGCCAAGUUUACUCAGCUGCUACUGUAAAAAUAGGAGACAGAGCCGGUCAAACAGUAUGUGUCCUGAGGGGGCCUGUUGUUGGCAUGUUAUUUGGUCUUACUUCUCAAGAAUGGCUGGAUAUUGAAGGCAUGGUGGAAAAUGAACAACAGUUAUUCUACAGAUAUUUUAAGGCAGGGUUGCACGGAAAUUUCAGCUGUGAACAGAAACUGUUUUACAAUUUUUGCCUGACGAACCAAACAUCUGAAGUUUUACUGGCAUUUUUUACAAGAUGUGUCAAUACAAGAAAUAAGGAUAAGAGUGAUGCUCUACUUCAAAUCAAUGAGCUGAGGAAGUGCAAACAUGAUGAAUUAAGUUAUUAUAUUGAUUACCUGCAAACCAACUGUGAUAUAAAUACCUAAUUAAACAUUUAUGAUACAUUUUAGUCCUUAAGUAAAUCUUUAAUUUUCAUUAACCCUUUAUAAGGCAGAGGCGAUAUAUCGACCACAUACGCUCAAUCAGAAAUUCAACCAUACUGUUUUAAUAAUAGGGCUCAAAAUCGUUUGCAUUAAUUGAAUAUUCAACUUGCUUUUAAAAUAGAUUUUUGAAAUGUAGGCUUCUGAUAGCUGCAACAAAUUCUGCGAUAGCACGUCCCUGUCAACGGGCCUUAUAAAGGGUUAAAUGAUUUUCCUUUUUUGUUUGUUCUUUUUAAAUGCUGUUUUUUUCUUUUCCAAUGUUUCAGUUGUAUUAAAUUAUGUGUAAACUUUUGUGGCUGAUGACUGUGUAAUGAAUAAUUUUACUAAUUAAUUAAAUUUAUAAGCUUUUA